UAAACGGCUUCUAUAGAAGCCACCCACAUGACAAAGAAGUGAUG
Molecule: non-coding RNA, 44 nt
Organism: Nematostella vectensis (starlet sea anemone)
Lineage: Eukaryota; Metazoa; Cnidaria; Anthozoa; Actiniaria; Edwardsiidae
Source: Rfam